Molecule: ribosomal RNA, 460 nt
Filed under: uncultured bacterium
Lineage: Bacteria
Description: partial 16S ribosomal RNA
Rfam family: Bacterial small subunit ribosomal RNA
Source: RNAcentral
CCUACGGGCGGCAGCAGUGAGGAAUAUUGGUCAAUGGACGAGAGUCUGAACCAGCCAAGUAGCGUGAAGGAUGACUGCCCUAUGGGUUGUAAACUUCUUUUAUAAAGGAAUAAAACGAGGCACGUGUGCCUUUUUGCAUGUACUUUAUGAAUAAGGAUCGGCUAACUCCGUGCCAGCAGCCGCGGUAAUACGGAGGAUCCGAGCGUUAUCCGGAUUUAUUGGGUUUAAAGGGAGCGUAGAUGGGUCGUUAAGUCAGUUGUGAAAUUUGACGGCUCAACCGUAAAAUUGCAAUUGAUACUGGCAGUCUUGAGUACAGUUGAGGUAGGCGGAAUUCGUGGUGUAGCGGUGAAAUGCUUAGAUAUCACGAAGAACCCCGAUUGCGAAGGCAGCUUACUAAACUGUGACUGACAUUGAUGCUCGAAAGUGUGGGUAUCAAACAGGAUUAGAUACCCGGGUAGUC